AACCAGUGGCGGACCCACGUUGGA
This 24-nucleotide non-coding RNA is filed under the name Arabidopsis thaliana (thale cress). The record is from RNAcentral. Lineage: Eukaryota; Viridiplantae; Streptophyta; Magnoliopsida; Brassicales; Brassicaceae.